CUAACUAGACUAUAUAAACUCUCUGGGGGGGGGUUCCACAUCUUUUUUUUUUAUCCUUUACCAUACCUGUAAUUUAGGGCUCAUUGUAGGCACUUAAUAAACUCUCGCUGACAGUCAUUAAUUUGGAGUACUUUUCAGAGUGAGUCCUGAUUAAAGUCACCCUGGAAGAAGUCUUGCCCGGGUCAAAAUGACCCUUGUGGAACCAACUGGAAAGCAGAAUCUGUGGUUGGCCAUGCAUUAUCCUAUACUGAUUUCAUAGGCACAUCCUCAUGCCCAUGGGCGCCCAGCCUCGUAAGGCUGGGCUCCGGGACUCUGCACCAGGAGUCUGUUCUUUGGUAUUAUUUUAAACUUAGGAUAGAGCUUACUCGUUUACAAGAGGGUUGCCCUUCACAGGUUUAAUGAGUGUGAAUAUCAUCCAUCAUCUUGAAUGGAAUUUUAUCCAGGAAGCCUUCUUUGGUUUCCUCACCUAGAAGUAAUCUUUCCUUCCUCUAAAUUUCAUUACACGUGAUUUCUACCCUCACGUUAUCCAUCACUUUCUUUUUUUAAUUAUUUUAUUUUAUUUUAUUUUUGAGGAAGAUUAGCCCUGAGCUAACAUCUGCUGCCAAUCCUCCUCUGUUUGCUGAGGAAGACUGGCCCUGAGCUAACAUCCGUGCCCAUCUUCCUCUACUUUACAUGUGGGAUGCCUGCCACAGCAUGGCUUGCCAAGCAGUGCCGUGUCUGCACCCGCGACCUGAACUAGCAAACCCUGGGCUGCCAAAUCAGAACGUGCACACUUCACCACUGCGCCACUGGGUCGGCCCCUAUCCAUCACUUUCUAAAUUUGUAUUACUCACACAUCUUAUCUCCCUUCCUAGACUAUGUGUUUCCUGAAUCAGGAUCCAUUCUUCAGUCACUUUGCUUCUCCUAGUGUGAGAGAACAGCUGCCACUGAUCAAGCAGUUAUUUGUAUGCCAAGUUAUUUAUUUCCACUUCACAAGUGGAAAAACUGAGGGCCAAAAAGAUUAAUAUCUAGUAUAGUAGAUUAAUCUCUAGUAUCCAGUAUGGUAGGUAUCUAGUAGGUCAUGCGGCUACUAAGUGAUGAAGCCUGGAUUCAAACUCAAGUAGUCUGACCUCAGAGUCUAUGCUCUUUAUUACUGGGCCCCAUAAUGCUUCCUGCACAUUGUGGGCAGUAAAGACGCAGUAAAUACUUAUUAAAUGAAUUCAUUCAUCAGUUAGCUAAUUAGUAAGACAACAAAAUGUUGGUCAGCUGUUAGGAGACCCAGUUUCAGAUACCUCCUCUGACCUAUAGCAUUAGAAAAGCCAAGGCUGUAAAGGAUUUAGGAGUAAAAUCAGGGGAUAUUCAGCGGUAAGAUCUGCCUCCAGACCACUGUCAAACCAAGUUCUACCAAUACUAACAUUAGUAACAUUAGAGUUAACCUAGGACACUGCUUCACAAUCCUAUGCAAACCCAGUGAGACUGAUAGAACUUCUUAAAGAGGAGAGGUUACACAUUUCGAAUAACUAAAUUACAUAUCUCUCUGAACGUUGGUGUUGUGUGCAUUAGGGGAAAAAGGCAGAUAUACACCUUCUAGGGUUACUAUAAGGUUUAAUGAGAUUAUGUGAAGUACCCAGCACAGUACUUGGUACAUAGUAGAAACUCUAUGCAUAUAAGCACUACCCUCCACUCCACCUGCAUUUCCCACUUCGCAGCUAAGCUGAAAGAAGGCGCAAAGCCAAAGGAGAGAUGAAUGGAUGACAGCUGGCAAUGAGAGAUGUUAGUCAAAUUCCACAGGAUUAAGUAGUUGUGAAUCAGAGGUGUCAAGGUCCACUCCCAAGAUUCCAAAUAGCAGCUCUUAGUCUUGCAAGAAAAUUUAGCCAGGAGAAGGAUAAGUGAGAGGCCUAUCAGAAGACAGAGGAAGUCGUUAUUCCUAGCAGAAGGGGAAAUUAGUUCUUGGGAUUCCCUCACUGUAAUGACUGACUGUUUUGUCGGCCAGGAUUGGAUUAACCUAAGGGUAUUCAGAGAUCUAUGUAUCUCACUGGGUCAUCUGUAUUUUACUGAGGAAUAGGAAGAUUAACUGCAGGCACCAGACUGGUCGUCCCACUUAACGUAACCCUGGAAAGUUCCUCUCGCAUUCCAGAAACUACUCAGCCUCUGUGAAGUUUGCCUAUCUGUCUGGCAAAAGACAGUUCAGGUCGUGUUUUUCACAAGCAAUAGAAAAAGCCAGUUUCAACAAAGCUAGGAGUUUGUCCUAAGAAUCUGGAGUUACUUAAGAGAUAUUUCAACAACCUGUGUCUUCAGUAAGGCUCCCCGGAAACAGACGCCUAAACAGAGAGAUGCAUGCCGGGUGCUGUGGUUUUUUGUUUUGUUUUGGUGGGGGGUGCUCUAAGAAACAACACCUGUAGGGGGAGUAAGGGAAACAGACUUGGGCAGAGGAAGAAGUUGAACUUUGAUGCCGUUGUAUUCAGCUAAGCCUACAGGGUGCUGGAUAUCAGUGUAAAAUGGUCUCCAGUAAAAGGAGCUGGGGGCCUUUGUAUCCCUAUGAGCAGUCAUCUGAUGCUGAUUGCCCCAGGGAGGGGUGUAACCUUGUGUAAGGCAGCUCCCUUGCUGAGGGCCGUCCAGAGGGGCACUCAGCUGUGAAUCACCCACGGCUAACGCUGCAGCUGCAGAAUCAGGGUAUCCACCAGAACCUGCUGCACAGCUAGUUGGUGUCUGCUUUUCCAUCAACUUGUAAAUUCCUGGAGAGGAGGACCUCAAGACAUUCUCCCUUGUUUUCUUCACAGCCAGGGAUGAUAUUGAAGAUAGUUAACACCCAGUGCAGCACAGGCACCAACCAACUCAAAUGGACGCUGGUCUUAGGCAAUUUGUAUGGCUAUACUAGUGGAUACAGCUGAAUAUUUGUUCUGCACACGGAAGGCAUCCAAUAAAAGAUCGUUGGAUUGAAUUUCAUUGGUUUGGUCAUCAUGGCCUUGCCACCUUUGUUCCAGAUAAAUGGAUCUGUAUGAGAGAAGCAGCUCUGGCACAUGCACACUUGCGGAUGCCGUUCAUCUGCUUUUCUCCUGGGACUACCAGGAAAUAAAUUAGCUAUCAGAUCAGAGCAAACCAAAAUUUAAAAGAUCAUAAAUGAAAAAUGAAUGUGUUGUUAUUUGACUUUUUUGUAUCGUUAUUCAUAGAUUUUCUUAAAGUAAUAAUCAGAGAACAUCAUCAACUAAAAUAUGUUUAUAACCCAAGUCAGUGACGAACUUGGUAAACACGGCAGAAUUACGCCCUCUCUUAAUUAGCCUUUGGGGAGACACCAAGUUUUGAACCACUGCUUGUAGCUCUGGGAAUCUUCUAAGAAGCAGGAGUAGAUUAACCUCUAGAAGAGAAAUAUGCCAAAAGCUGAUUUUCACAUAUGACUUGGUGAGUCUUAAACAGAAACAGGCUAACAUGCCAAAUAUGACCAGCUGAGAAGUAUCAACAUCAAAGGCAGAAAUCAUAAACUAUUUGACACAAACAUAUUAAAAAGUUUUACAUCAAGAAAUUAUAAAAAACAAAAUUUAAGACAGGUGACAAAUUUUAAAAUAUUGCUGCAUAUGUGACAGAGCUGAUAUCAUUAAUAUAUGAGAAAUUCUUACAGAUCAGUAAGAAAAAAAUGCCUCAGUAGAAAAAUGACCAAAGGAUAAGCAAGUCACAAAACAAAAAAUAAAAAAGGCUGAUAAACAUUUAGUGUCUAGAAUAGUGCCUGUC
RNAcentral lists this long non-coding RNA (3705 nucleotides) under Equus caballus (horse). RNAcentral's name for it is "lncRNA (ENSECAG00000053038.1)". Lineage: Eukaryota; Metazoa; Chordata; Mammalia; Perissodactyla; Equidae. The record is from RNAcentral.